UACGUACGUGGUGGCCGCAGGGGGGAAUUUUGACACAUGGGUGCAAGCGUGCAUGGAGACAUGCCGUGUGAGUGAUGAAGGCUUUAGGGUAGGAAAACUCUUUGGCCAGGGUCGAUAGUGGCAGUUCUUGUUAAAGAAACCCCGGGUUAAUUCGUUCCCACCAGCGGGGUUAUUCGGGGGGGGUCAGGGUUUUUCGGAAUUCAUGGGGUUAAAGGGUUGGUUGGGGGAUUAGAAAAUUGGGGGUGAAAUCCCAGGGCUUAACCGAGGAAAUGCCUUCAAAUAUUGUUGUUUAGAGUUCGAGAGAGGGUGAGUGGAAUUCCAACUGUAGAGGUGAAAUUCGUAGAUUUUGGGAGGAACCCCAGUGGGGAAGGGGGCUCUCUGGCUCCGAUAAUGACGGUGAGGUCCGAAAAGUGUGGGGAGCAAACCGGGUUAGAUCCCCUGGUUGUCCCCCCCCUAAACGGUGAAUUCCAGACUUCGGGGGUCUUACCCUUGAGUGUCCCAGGUAANCGCAUAAGCAUCCGC
RNAcentral lists this ribosomal RNA (522 nucleotides) under uncultured Alphaproteobacteria bacterium. RNAcentral's name for it is "partial 16S ribosomal RNA". It matches the Rfam family "Bacterial small subunit ribosomal RNA", at positions 335 to 871 of the family's 1533-position model. Lineage: Bacteria; Pseudomonadati; Pseudomonadota; Alphaproteobacteria. The record is from RNAcentral.